Molecule: long non-coding RNA, 690 nt
Filed under: Homo sapiens (human)
Lineage: Eukaryota; Metazoa; Chordata; Mammalia; Primates; Hominidae
Description: HSALNT0396675
Source: RNAcentral
ACCAGCACCUAGGCGAUGUGACCGUUCUUUUGCCCGGGCCCCAUAUACUUUGAGUAUUUUAACAUAUUGCUGGGCUCAACAUCCAUGGGAUAGUACACUCCUGCCUGGGCCUUGCCCACAGGGAGACUUGUGACAUAUCUCUGCAUGCAUCACCUAGAUGUUGUGACUCUUCUUUUCUACCUGCACCCUGCCAACAGGAAGGAUUGUGACAUAUCGCUGGGCUUAGCAACUAGGUUCUGCCUGCAGGGAAGAUUGUGACAUAUUGCUGGAAACAACACCAACAUAAUGUUGCUCUUUUGCCUGGGACCUGCCCUCAAAAGGCAUUGUGAUAUACUGGUGGGCCAAGCUCGAAGGUGAUGAGGAAUUGUGAUGUAUCACUGGGCCCAGCAUGCAGGUAAUGUGACUCUCCUGCACAGGCCCUGCCCACAGGGGUGAUUGUGGCAGAUUGCUGAUCCCAGCUCCCAUGUGAUGUGCUCUCCUCCACUGCUUCGGCUCUGCUUAAAAAGGGAAUGUGAUGUAUCUCUUGGUACAGCAUCGAGGUGAUGUCUCUCUCCUUUUCUGCCUGGGCCCUGCAUACUUUGUGUAGUGUAGCAUAUGGCUGAGUCUAAGACCUACUUGGUGUGACUCUCCUGCAUGUGUCCUGCCCACAAGGUAUUGUGACAUAUAUUUUCAUUGAUUACCCAAGUAAUG